GAUGAAGAACGCAGCGAAAUGCGAUAAGUAAUGUGAAUUGCAGAAUUCAGUGAAUCAUCGAAUCUUUGAACGCACAUUGCGCCCGCCAGUAUUCUGGCAGGCAUGCCUGUUCGAGCGUCAUUUCAACCAUCAAGCCCCAGGCUUGUGUUGGGGACCUGCGGCUGCCGCAGGCCCUGAAAACCAGUGGCGGGCUCGCUGUCACACCGGGCGUAGUAGAUUUUAUCUCGCUCAGGGCGUGCUGCGGGUUCCGGCCGUUAAAAAGCCUUUUUUACCCAAGGUUGACCUCGGAUCAGGUAGGAAGACCCGCUGAACUUAAGCAUAUCAAUAAGCGGAGGA
This 336-nucleotide unclassified non-coding RNA is filed under the name soil metagenome. RNAcentral's name for it is "partial contains 5.8S ribosomal RNA, internal transcribed spacer 2, and large subunit ribosomal RNA". The stretch from base 1 to 120 matches the Rfam family "5.8S ribosomal RNA", at positions 35 to 154 of the family's 154-position model. The record is from RNAcentral.